UACCCGCUGAAUUUAAGCAUAUCAAUAAGCGGAGGAAAAGAAACUAACCAGGAUUCCCCCAGUAACGGCGAGUGAAGCGGGAAAAGCCCAGCACCGAAUCCCCCGGCGACACCGUCGGCGGGAACUGUGGUGUAUGGGACGCCAACAGCCUUGCCCGGACGGCACACAAGUCCUCCUGAUAGAGGCCCUUCCCCGUGCGGGUGUGAGGCCUUUGGACGGUGCCCGUCCGGCUCGGCCGUGAGCGUCUCCGGAGUCGGGUUGUUUGAGAAUGCAGCCCUAAGCGGGUGGUAAAUUCCAUCUAAGGCUAAAUACCUGUGCGAGUCCGAUAGUUGACAAGUACCGUGAGGGAAAGUUGAAAAGAACUUUGAAGAGAGAGUUCAACAGUACGUAAAACCGCUCAAAGGUAAACGGGUGGAACCGCAACACGCACUGCCCGCGGGAUUCAGCCCGUCCCGGCCGCCCCUCCACGCGUCCCCGCGCAGGGGCACCACCGUCACUGGUGGAGCCCCAGGGAUCGCGAGGAGCUCGGGCCGGCCGGCGGUGGGUGCAUUUCCCGCGGGCGGUAAGCCACGACCGGUUUCGGGGCGGCGAUGAGCCCUCCGGGGAAGGUAGGGUCGGACGGGCCCGCGAUACGCCUUCGCGCGCCUCGCCCGACCGACCCGUUACAGCCCCGGGCGGGAUCGCGCCCGCUCUCGAGACCGAGGAUGACCGCAAUUGCUACCGUCCCCGCCAGCGUCGCCCGCGCCCGGCCUCCGCUAGUCUCAGGAGUGCCCGGGCUCGCGGGUUCGACCGGCCGGGGUGUCGCAGUAGGGUCCGUGGUGAAGCAGUCGGCACUCCACCCGACCCGUCUUGAAACACGGACCAAGAAGUCUGGCGUGCGCGCGAGUCAAUGGGUCGUCCGAAACCCCAGGGCGCAGCGAAAGCGAAAGGUGGGAUCCCCCGCGCCGGGCUCAAUUGAAAAACCUCGGUCGGAGGCGCACCACCGGCCCGCCCCUGUGUCGCCGCCGCCGUCCCCUUUCGCGCGGGGGGGCGGUGGAUGUCGGCGGGGCGGAGCUAGAGCGCGCACGCCGGGACCCGAAAGAUGGUGAACUAUGCCUGAGCAGGCCGAAGCCAGAGGAAACUCUGGUGGAAGGCGGAAG
This 1139-nucleotide ribosomal RNA is filed under the name Berthella plumula. Its description in RNAcentral is "eukaryotic LSU rRNA". It matches the Rfam family "Eukaryotic large subunit ribosomal RNA", at positions 22 to 880 of the family's 3401-position model. Lineage: Eukaryota; Metazoa; Mollusca; Gastropoda; Pleurobranchida; Pleurobranchidae. The record is from RNAcentral.